RNAcentral lists this unclassified non-coding RNA (379 nucleotides) under uncultured Alphaproteobacteria bacterium. RNAcentral describes it as "contains 16S-23S intergenic spacer region". Lineage: Bacteria; Pseudomonadati; Pseudomonadota; Alphaproteobacteria. The record is from RNAcentral.
UCCGGCUUAUCACCGGCAGUUUCCUUAGAGUUCCCAGCAUAACCUGUUGGCAACUAAGGAUGAGGGUUGCGCUCGUUGCGGGACUUAACCCAACAUCUCACGACACGAGCUGACGACAGCCAUGCAGCACCUGUGUUCCGGGCUCCGAAGAGAAGGUCACAUCUCUGUGACCGGUCCCGGACAUGUCAAGGGCUGGUAAGGUUCUGCGCGUUGCGUCGAAUUAAACCACAUGCUCCACCGCUUGUGCAGGCCCCCGUCAAUUCCUUUGAGUUUCGGUCUUGCGACCGUACUCCCCAGGCGGAGUGUUUCACGCGUUAGCUGCGCCACUAGUGAGUAAACCCACUAACGGCUGGCAUUCAUCGUUUACGGCGUGGACUAC